This 708-nucleotide ribosomal RNA is filed under the name uncultured bacterium. RNAcentral's name for it is "bacterial SSU rRNA". It matches the Rfam family "Bacterial small subunit ribosomal RNA", at positions 193 to 879 of the family's 1533-position model. The record is from RNAcentral.
GGAUCCUACUAAAGGUGGCCUCUACUUGUAAGCUAUCGCUUUACGAUGGGUCUGCGUCUGAUUAGCUAGUUGGUGGGGUAACGGCCUACCAAGGCGACGAUCAGUAGCCGGUCUGAGAGGAUGAACGGCCACAUUGGAACUGAGACACGGUCCAGACUCCUACGGGAGGCAGCAGUGGGGAAUCUUCCGCAAUGGGCGCAAGCCUGACGGAGCAACGCCGCGUGAGUGAAGAAGGGUUUCGACUCGUAAAGCUCUGUUGUCGGGGACGAAUGUGGAGAUGGUGAAUAACCAUUUUCAAUGACGGUACCUGACGAGGAAGCCACGGCUAACUACGUGCCAGCAGCCGCGGUAAUACGUAGGUGGCGAGCGUUGUCCGGAAUUAUUGGGCGUAAAGGGAGCGCAGGCGGGAAGGUAAGUCUAUCUUAAAAGUGCGGGGCUCAACCCCGUGAGGGGAUGGAAACUAUCUUUCUUGAGUGCAGGAGAGGAAAGCGGAAUUCCUAGUGUAGCGGUGAAAUGCGUAGAUAUUAGGAGGAACACCAGUGGCGAAGGCGGCUUUCUGGACUGUAACUGACGCUGAGGCUCGAAAGCGUGGGGAGCGAACAGGAUUAGAUACCCUGGUAGUCCACGCCGUAAACGAUGAAUGCUAGGUGUAGGAGGUAUCGACCCCUUCUGUGCCGGAGUUAACGCAAUAAGCAUUCCGCCUGGGGA